GGGGAACCAGGACUUUUACUUUGAAAAAAUUAGAGUGCUCCAGGCAGGCCUAUGCUCGAAUACAUUAGCAUGGAAUAAUAGAAUAGGACGUGUGGUUCUAUUUUGUUGGUUUCUAGGACCGCCGUAAUGAUUAAUAGGGACAGUCGGGGGCAUCAGUAUUCAAUUGUCAGAGGUGGAAUUCUUGGAUCUAUUGAAGACUAACUACUGCGAAAGCAUUUGCCAAGGAUGUUUUCAUUGAUAAGGAACGAAAGUUAGGGGAUCGAAGACGAUCAGAUACCGUCGUAGUCUUAACUAUAAACUAUGCCGACUAGGGAUCGGACGAUGUUAUCUUUUGACGCGUUCGGCACCUUUCGAGAAAUCAAAGUGCUUGGGCUCCAGGGGGAGUAUGGUCGCAAGGCUGAAACUUAAAGAAAUUGACGGAAGGGCACCACCAGGGGUGGAACCUGCGGCUUAAUUUGACUCAACACGGGGAAACUCACCAGGUCCAGACACAGUGAGGAUUGACAGAUUGAGAGCUCUUUCUUGAUUCUGUGGGUGGUGGUGCAUGGCCGUUCUUAGUUGGUGGAGUGAUUUGUCUGCUUAAUUGCGAUAACGAACGAGACCU
RNAcentral lists this ribosomal RNA (604 nucleotides) under uncultured fungus. RNAcentral's name for it is "SSU rRNA". It matches the Rfam family "Eukaryotic small subunit ribosomal RNA", at positions 737 to 1343 of the family's 1831-position model. Lineage: Eukaryota; Fungi. The record is from RNAcentral.